RNAcentral lists this ribosomal RNA (464 nucleotides) under uncultured bacterium. Its description in RNAcentral is "partial 16S ribosomal RNA". It matches the Rfam family "Bacterial small subunit ribosomal RNA", at positions 339 to 795 of the family's 1533-position model. The record is from RNAcentral.
CUACGGGAUGCAGCAGUGGGGAAUAUUGCACAAUGGGGGAAACCCUGAUGCAGCCAUGCCGCGUGUAUGAAGAAGGCCUUCGGGUUGUAAAGUACUUUCAGCAGUGAGGAAGGGUGAUAAAUUAAUACUUUAUCAUUUUGACGUUAGCUGCAGAAGAAGCACCGGCUAACUCCGUGCCAGCAGCCGCGGUAAUACGGAGGGUGCGAGCGUUAAUCGGAAUUACUGGGCGUAAAGCGCAUGCAGGUGGUCUGUUAAGUCAGAUGUGAAAGCCCGGGGCUUAACCUCGGAAUCGCAUUUGAAACUGGCAGGCUAGAGUACUGUAGAGGGGGGUAGAAUUUCAGGUGUAGCGGUGAAAUGCGUAGAGAUCUGAAGGAAUACCGGUGGCGAAGGCGGCCCCCUGGACAGAUACUGACACUCAGAUGCGAAAGCGUGGGGAGCAAACAGGAUUAGAUACCCGAGUAGUC